This 74-nucleotide transfer RNA is filed under the name Candidatus Roizmanbacteria bacterium. Its description in RNAcentral is "tRNA-Trp". It matches the Rfam family "tRNA". From Rfam's summary of the family: Transfer RNA (tRNA) molecules are approximately 80 nucleotides in length. Their secondary structure includes four short double-helical elements and three loops (D, anti-codon, and T loops). The record is from RNAcentral. Lineage: Bacteria; Candidatus Roizmaniibacteriota.
GGGGGUGUAGUUCAAUGGUAGAAUAGAGGUCUCCAAAACCUUUGAUGGGGGUUCGAUUCCCUCCACCCCUGCCA